AAGCCGUCUGGUGGAUGGCUCGGCUCAAGCGCCGACGAAGGACGCGGUAAGCGGCGAUAUGCCUAGGCUAGGUGCAUACAACCGCCGAACCUAGGGUCUCCGAAUGGGAUUCCCGCCUUUGGGCGCUCCGUAAGGAGUGGGAACCCCCCGAACGGAAACAUCUUAGUAGGGGGAGGAAGAGAAAUCAAUUGAGAUCUCCUGAGUAGGGGCGACCGAAAGGGAGAAAGCCCAAACCAAAUCCGGUCAUGAUGAAUGGCCGGAGAUGUGGUGUUUUGCCCUAUGUCUGGCGCAAAGCAAGUCGGCCGUCAUAUACUAGUCGAACUCCUCUGGAAUGAGGGAUCAUAGAGGGUGACAGUCCCGUAGACGAAAGUAUAUGGGCUGAUGACAUAGGGCGGAGUACUAUCCUCUGGUUUGAGGGUAGGAAGAUGGGGGUCACUCGCCUCCAAGGCUAAAUACGUCUUGAGACCGAUAGCGAACUAAGUACCGUGAGGGAAAGCUGAAAAGCACUCCGGGAAUGAGGGUGAAAAGAUCCUGAAACCAGGCGGUUACAAACGAUAGGGCACGAAAGAGAUGAGAGAACCUAAAGGAAAGGGGUGCGAACCCCGAGUACGAGGGACCUUGAUCGGUGUCCUAUCUUCCGUCUUGAAACACGGGCCGGGGAGUUCUCAUUGGUGGCGAGCUUAAGGGGUUUACCUCCGAAGGCGUAGGGAAACCAAAUGCACGCAACCCAGCAAUGGGUGAGGUGCAGGGUCUGAUAAGGGCCUUAAGUCACCGGUGAGAGGCUAGAAACCGGGCGAUCUAGACCGGGGCAGGCCGAAGCGGGGGGAAACUUCCGUGGAGGGCCGAGCGGGUUCUGACGUGCAACUCGUUCCUUAGACCUCGGUCUAGGGGUAAUAGGCCAAUCUAGCCCGGUGAUAGCUAGUUCCCCCCGAAGUGCGUCUUAGCGCAGCCUCACCGGAGGUUGUCGAUGGGGUAGAGUUACUGAUUGGGGGUGCAGAGGCCGAAAGGCCUCGAUCUCCAGUCAAACUCCGAACCUGUCGACUCCGUAGAUGGUGGGAGUAGGGCUACCCGGCGUAAGGUUGGGUGCCGUGAGGGGAACAACCCUGACCUAGGUUAAGGGCCCAAAUUGCCAGCUAAGUGCAUAUGAAGGGCGUCUCCAGCCAUAGACAGCGGGAAGGUGGGCCCAGCAGCAGCCAUCCUCUAAGGAGUGCGUAACAGCUCACCCGCCGAGGCUGGAGGUCCCGCAGAUUGGUCGGGGCUAAAGCUGGCACCCGAGACCUAGGAGUACCGUCUCAUUGGGGCGGUACUGGUAGGGGGGCGCUGGGGGUGGUCAGAAGGUGGGCCGUAAGGUCCAUUGGACCGCCUUCAGGUGCAGAUCCCGGCGGUAGUAGCAGCGAAGGAGGGUGGAAAUCCCUCCCGCCGUAAAGGGCAAGGGUUCCUCAGCAAUGUUCGUCAGCUGAGGGUUAGCCGGUCCUAAGGCGAGGCCUAACUGGUACUUGCCGAAAGGGAAAGGGGUUAAUAUUCCCCUGCCACGGAGGUAGGUGGGGCAACUCAGGCUAACCUCCUGACGGGUUGAGAUAGGCGGAGUGGGGAAUCCUCUCCAUCCAAGCUCUCAAGUCCCUGGAGUACCGUAAUGGUGAGAAGGGGAUGAAGGAGUGAUGGGCCGUUAGGUUUCGCCAAUUCUUAGCCCCCAUGAAAAGGGAGGUUAGAGCGAUCCUCCGUGACCGUACCUAGAACCGACACAGGUGCCCCUGGGUGAGAAGCCCAAGGCGUCUAGGGGAUAACCCUGGCUAGGGAACUCGGCAAAUUAGCCCCGUAACUUCGGGAUAAGGGGUGCCUACUGUAGUGUACGCAGCUACAGUAGGUCGCAGUGACAAGGGGGACCUGACUGUUUAAUAAAAACAUAUGUCCCCGCUAGCCCGUAAGGGUGAGUACGGGGGCUGAAUCCUGGCCACUGGUGGUCGGUGACACCCGGGUUCAACCGGGAGAAGCCCCACUGAAGGCCGGGGGUAACUCUGACCCUCUUAAGGUAGCCAAAUGCCUUGCCGGGCGAGUUCCGGCGCGCAUGAAUGGAUCAACGCGGUCCCCACUGUCCCAGCCAGGGGCCCUGCGAACGCCCUGAGUGGGUCGCACAGUCCCACAUCCCUCCACACCGAGAGAAGACCCCGUGGAGCUUCACCGCAGCCUGGCGCUGAUUUUCGGGCGCUCAUACGUAGAGUAGGUGGGAGGCGUCGAAGCUGUCCCUUCGGGGGCAGUGGAGCCAAAAGUGAAACACCACCUAUGGGUGCUCGGAAGUCUAACCUCGUAAGAGGAACAACGUCAGGUGGGCGGUUCGGCUGGGGCGGCACUCCCGCGAAAAGAUAACACGGGAGCCCAAAGGUCGGCUCAGGCGGUACAGAACGCCGCCGUAGAGUGCAAGGGCAAAAGCCGGCCUGAUGGAACCCUUCAAAGUACGGGGUUCCGGCGCGAAAGCGUGGCCUAGCGAACGCUCAUGCCCCCACGAGUGGGGGCUGGGCAUGACAGAAAAGUUACCCCGGGGAUAACAGAGUCGUCGCGGGCGAGAGCUCCCAUCGACCCCGCGGUUUGCUACCUCGAUGUCGGCUCUUCCCAUCCUGGAGGUGCAGCAGCCUCCAAGGGUAGGGCUGCCCGCCCAUUAAUGGGGAACGUGAGCUGGGUUUAGACCGUCGCGAGACAGGUCGGGCUCUAAGGGUGGAGGGUGCAGGUCGCCUGAAGGAAAGGUACCCCAAGUACGAGAGGAACAGGGUACCGGGGCCUCUAGUUUACCGGUUAUCCGGUCGGGUAGUGCCGGGCAGCCACGCCUCUAGGGGUAACUGCUGAAAGCAUCUAAGCAGGAACCCCGCCCUGAAAAGAGGCGACCGUGCAGGUCCGGGUAACCGGACUUGCAGAAGGGCUCCUCUAGACGAGGGGGUUGAUGGGGUAGGGGUGUAAGCUUCGAGGGUUUCCCGAGAAGUUCAGCCCGCUACUCCCAAUAGCCCAAGC
Molecule: ribosomal RNA, 3000 nt
Filed under: Sulfolobales archaeon HS-7
Lineage: Archaea; Thermoproteati; Thermoproteota; Thermoprotei; Sulfolobales
Description: 23S ribosomal RNA
Rfam family: Archaeal large subunit ribosomal RNA
Source: RNAcentral